RNAcentral lists this ribosomal RNA (410 nucleotides) under uncultured Methylomirabilota bacterium. RNAcentral's name for it is "bacterial SSU rRNA". It matches the Rfam family "Bacterial small subunit ribosomal RNA", at positions 1025 to 1434 of the family's 1533-position model. The record is from RNAcentral. Lineage: Bacteria; Methylomirabilota (SeqCode).
AGCGUGGAGACAGGUGGUGCAUGGCUGUCGUCAGCUCGUGUCGUGAGAUGUUGGGUUAAGUCCCGCAACGAGCGCAACCCUCACCCCUUGUUGCCACCAGGUCAGGCUGGGCACUCUAGGGGAACUGCCCCGGUCAACGGGGAGGAAGGUGGGGACGACGUCAAGUCAUCAUGCCCCUUACGCCCUGGGCUGCACACGUGCUACAAUGGCCGGUACAAAGGGAUGCAAGACCGUGAGGUGGAGCUAAACCCAAAAAGCCGGUCUAAGUUCAGAUUGGAGUCUGCAACUCGACUCCAUGAAGGAGGAAUCGCUAGUAAUCGCGCAUCAGCACGGCGCGGUGAAUACGUUCCCGGGCCUUGUACACACCGCCCGUCACACCACGAAAGCCAGCUGUACUCGAAGUCGCUGAG